Molecule: transfer RNA, 76 nt
Filed under: Sphaerodactylus townsendi
Lineage: Eukaryota; Metazoa; Chordata; Lepidosauria; Squamata; Sphaerodactylidae
Description: tRNA-Ala
Source: RNAcentral
GGAGAGGGCUAUAGCUCAGUGUUAGUGCAUCUGCUUCGCAUGCAAAGGGUCCCAGGUUCAGUCCCCAGCUUCUCCA